AAUUUGUAAAAAAGGACAUUGCAUUUUCUUUUUCAAAAAUGUAUAAUGAUUUUUAAACUUUACAUAUCUAUUACUUAUUUGAUUUUUUUUCACAUUCAAUGAUUGUAAGAUAGAACUGAUGAGUGCUUUGAUUUUUGGAUUUACCCUGUUUUACAUAACAUUGGACCUGCCCAGGUACACAGUUGUAAGUCUGAAACAUUUAGGUUAGCAAGCUGGUGGAAAUCACAGAGAAUCUACUUGAUGUUUUAGGUAUUUUAGAGAUAUUGUUUUGUUUAAGAUGUUUAAGUAUAGUUAUGGUAAAUAAGAAUGACAAGAAGAAUCACCUUGGACAAGAAGAUAUACAACAAAAUCAGGUAAAUACCUUUGAGUUACAUUUAUGCAGAAUUGAUACAGGUUAUAUACAUUUGUAUUAAACAAUCAAAGUAAAAUGGCAGCAAACUAAAAUUUGUAACUUGAGAGAUCAAGGCUGUUUUUAUUUCUAAGCUUCAUACAUUAGAUUUACUAAUACUUGUAAUUGAUUUAAAUCUAGAUUUAAUAGUUAAAUUAAUUGAAUUUUUAGAACUAAAUAGUACAAUCAGUAGUUUUAUGCAGCUGAAUAAGACAGGGUUAUCAUAAUCAUUUAUCAUUUUAUUGUUGUUUUCAAUGGAGAAAUCUGAUAUUACAUUUUACAUACAUUGCAGGCUAGUAGGACUAGUUCUUACUUUGAGAUGCCAGGUGAAUAAUGAUAUGCAGUAUUGAGCCUGAAAAGGUGAACACAGCCACAUGAAGUUCUCCGAGGAAAUAGAAGCAGAGCACUGAAACAGACAUCAAUAAAAGAAAUAGUAGUUUGAAUAAUCAGAAACAUUUGAUCAAAUUUAUGAUUUGAACAGUUCCUCACCGACAGACUUCCAGCAAAAUAAUUGUAUAAAUAAAGUGUUUGAUUCCAAGAAAACCAGUAAAAAACAAAAA
This is a long non-coding RNA of Ruditapes philippinarum (Manila clam), 948 nucleotides long. RefSeq lists it as uncharacterized. The record is from RefSeq and is a predicted model, not a curated record. The transcript is spliced from 2 exons. Lineage: Eukaryota; Metazoa; Mollusca; Bivalvia; Venerida; Veneridae.